Ricinus communis (castor bean) is the source of this 1927-nucleotide long non-coding RNA. RefSeq lists it as uncharacterized. The transcript has 2 exons. NCBI's taxonomy places the organism in Eukaryota, Viridiplantae, Streptophyta, Magnoliopsida, Malpighiales, Euphorbiaceae. The record is from RefSeq and is a predicted model, not a curated record.
CAUAUCCAACCAAUAGUUCUCGGGGGUUAGAAUUACUCGCAGGUGCCCUGUUCUAUCUCACCUGCUUUUUACAAAUGAUACCAUCCUUUUCGUUAAGGCUGAUGUCCAAGAGGUCAGGGGGUUAAGGAAACUUUGGACCAUUACCAAGCUACAUCAGGCCAGCUCUUUAACUUAUCUAAAUCAGGUGUAUUUAUUGGGCAAUCAGUUUCUGCUCAAGCAAAGAGACAAAUUCUAACUAUACUGGGGGUUAAACAAAUUAUAAAAGGGGAUAAGUAUCUAGGAGCCCCUAUUAUUUGAGGCAAAAGCAAGAAACAAACUUUAGAUUUUCUUAAGAGCAGAAUUUUACAGAGAAUCUAAGGUUGGAAGUAGAAAAUGUUAUCUUAUGGAGGUAGGGAAGUUAUGAUUAAAUCUAUACUAUCAUCGCUUCCCUCGUUCAUAAUGUCUUGUUUUCUUGUUACCAGGAGUUUGUGUGAGGAGCUUAAUGGUCUAUUGGCUAAAUUCUUGAGGAGCCAAGAUAUGAAUAGUCAUCGUGUGAGCUUUAUUAGUUGGUCAAAUAUGUCCAAACCGAAGGAGCUAGGUGGAUUCGGGUUCAGGGACCUGUUAUUCUUUAAUUUAGCUUUGUUGGCUAAGCAAGUCUGGAACCUUUUUAAUGAUCCCAAUUUCAUGUGGGCCAAAAUUGUUAGGGCAAUCUAUUUUCCUCAUUGUUCUUUCUGGGAGGCUAAGACUGGAUAUCGACCCUCACGAGUCUGGAGAAGUAUGUUGACUACUAGAAAUGUGCUUAAGCUAGAGGGCUUUUAGGUUGAUUGGGAAUGGGCAAUCCACUUUCAUUUAGGGUGAUCUAUGGUUGCCCAGCACUCUAGGGUUUAAGCUCUUCUCUAUUAGAACUCAGGACUUUAAUCUUCAUAGGGUGAGUGAUGUUAUCAGAGCUAGUGAGUAGGAUUGUAGGGGAUUAGCUAGUUAUCUCACAUCCCUAGAAUUAAAAGCAAUUACAAUGUGCUAACCAAGUGCUGCCAAUGAAUCUGACAGAUGGGUUUGGAAAUUCUCAAAAGAAGGGCUCUAUUCCGUUAAAUCGGGAUAUUAUGCCUUGAAAAACCAAGUUGAAUUUCAAGAAGGGUCGAGCCCUUCCUCUCCUACUCAGCCAUCUCUAACUUUCUAGAAAAAAAUCUGAAAGGUUAACCUAACCCCAAAGAUCAAGACCUUCUUAUGGCGGGCUGCUAAGCAAGUCCUUCAUGUUGGUAGGGUUCUCGUCCGUAGGAAGCUUAAUGUGAAUAAUAUAUGUUGCUUAUGUGAUCAAAAUCCUGAAUCAGUGAAACACCUACUGUUGUUUUGUCCCAUGGUGCGACUAGUAUGGUUUACUUCUUUAUUGGCCUACUCUCCCACUACAUUUGAAGGGAUCUCCUUUGCGGAAUGGUGGAAAAUAAUGAUGAGAACCUGUAAAGGUCCUAAUAUGGUUGACAUUCUAACUAGAAUUGGUUUCAUAGGCUGUAUGGAGAGGGAUGAAUGAGCUUAUAUUUUCAGGAACUCCUUUUGAUCCUGUUAAGAUUGGAAAGCUAAUGGGUCUCUAGUGGAUGGUGCUGCAGUGAUGAUUCCAUGCUUAACUGAGGAGGCUGCAGAAGCCCAGGCGAUUCUCCUUUGUCUCCAGGUUGCCCAGAAUUUUGGGGUAGGAUCUUUUGGCAUAUUUGGUGAAAACAAACUUCUUAGUAAUGUUGUAAAUGGCAAUUCUCCUGUUCCUUGGGAUACUCUUAGUACUGUUCACCAAGCAAAGGAGAGACUCCGUUAUUUAUUUUUUUUGUGAACUUUGGUUCUGUUUGUAAAACUAAGAAUUCUAUAGCCAGAUGAGUGGCAGAGCGAUUAUCCAAGGGGAAUCUCUCUUGUGCUUGGCUAUUUGUUUCUCUUAGUAAUGAAUAAGUUAUUUGACCCAAGAAAA